AUGCAUGAAAGAAAUGAAAUAGAUAGAAUCUUGUUUGAACAACAACCUCUGCUUAAACACAAUUUGCCUAUCGAAACACCAGGAGGUCCUCCUCCACCUAAAUGUGAUCAUGUGUUUGAAUUAAAACAACUACCUGGCACUUUGAAAUAUGCUUCUCUCGAUGAGAAAAAGAUAUAUCCUGUUAUUAUUAGUGCUAACCUUUCAGAACAUGAAGAAGAAAGAUUAUUGAAAAUUCUAAGGAAGCACCGAGCUGCUAUUGGAUAUACUGUUGAUGAUCUUAAGGGCAUUAGUCCCACUCUAUGUCAGCACAAGAUUAAUAUGGAACCUGAUGCUAAACCCAUUGUUGAUCACCAACGUCGGUUAAAUCCGAAGAUGAAAGAAGUGGUAAGAACGGAAAUACUAAAACUUCUGGAAGCAGGUAUAAUCUAUCCUAUAGCUGAUAGUAGAUGGGUAAGUCAUGUUCAUUGUGUCCCUAAGAAAUGA
RNAcentral lists this ribosomal RNA (483 nucleotides) under Triticum aestivum (bread wheat). Its description in RNAcentral is "partial small subunit ribosomal RNA". Lineage: Eukaryota; Viridiplantae; Streptophyta; Magnoliopsida; Poales; Poaceae. The record is from RNAcentral.